Molecule: transfer RNA, 72 nt
Filed under: Bos indicus (zebu cattle)
Lineage: Eukaryota; Metazoa; Chordata; Mammalia; Artiodactyla; Bovidae
Rfam family: tRNA
About the family: Transfer RNA (tRNA) molecules are approximately 80 nucleotides in length.
Source: Rfam by way of RNAcentral
UCCCCAGUGACUCAGCUGGUAAAGAAUCCACCUGCAAUGUGGGAGACCUGGGUUUGAUCCCUGGGUGGGGAA